Molecule: ribosomal RNA, 500 nt
Filed under: Fusarium sp. hl5
Lineage: Eukaryota; Fungi; Ascomycota; Sordariomycetes; Hypocreales; Nectriaceae
Description: eukaryotic LSU rRNA
Rfam family: 5.8S ribosomal RNA (bases 125-278)
Source: RNAcentral
GUGACAUACCUAAAACGUUGCUUCGGCGGGAACAGACGGCCCUGUAACAACGGGCCGCCCCCGCCAGAGGACCCCUAACUCUGUUUUUAUAAUGUUUUUCUGAGUAAACAAGCAAAUAAAUUAAAACUUUCAACAACGGAUCUCUUGGCUCUGGCAUCGAUGAAGAACGCAGCGAAAUGCGAUAAGUAAUGUGAAUUGCAGAAUUCAGUGAAUCAUCGAAUCUUUGAACGCACAUUGCGCCCGCCAGUAUUCUGGCGGGCAUGCCUGUUCGAGCGUCAUUACAACCCUCAGGCCCCCGGGCCUGGCGUUGGGGAUCGGCAGAAGCCCCCUGUGGGCACACGCCGUCCCUCAAAUACAGUGGCGGUCCCGCCGCAGCUUCCAUUGCGUAGUAGCUAACACCUCGCAACUGGAGAGCGGCGCGGCCAUGCCGUAAAACACCCAACUUCUGAAUGUUGACCUCGAAUCAGGUAGGAAUACCCGCUGAACUUAAGCAUAUCAAU